UGGAAUGUAGCUCAGUGGUACAGUGCUUGCCUAUCAUGCAUGAGGCCCUAGAUGCAAUCCUUAGCACUGCAA
This 72-nucleotide transfer RNA is filed under the name Fukomys damarensis (Damara mole-rat). It matches the Rfam family "tRNA". From Rfam's summary of the family: Transfer RNA (tRNA) molecules are approximately 80 nucleotides in length. Their secondary structure includes four short double-helical elements and three loops (D, anti-codon, and T loops). The record is from Rfam by way of RNAcentral. Lineage: Eukaryota; Metazoa; Chordata; Mammalia; Rodentia; Bathyergidae.